Theobroma cacao (cacao) is the source of this 485-nucleotide non-coding RNA. NCBI's taxonomy places the organism in Eukaryota, Viridiplantae, Streptophyta, Magnoliopsida, Malvales, Malvaceae. The record is from RefSeq and is a predicted model, not a curated record.
GAGAGGUUUUCUUCCAUCUGCCAUUGUUGAAAUCUAAAGGAAAAGUGGUGGUUUGGCUUAGUGAUUCAAGGGAUCUUCAAGGAUUCGAAGAACCAGGUGCAUGCAUGCGGGUUAAUCUUAGAAGUAUGGUGGUUUAAAGCAAGACAAAUGAUGGCUAUGGUUAUCGAGGAUGUGAGGAGUUAUUGAGUUGCAUGUGGAAUUCAAGGUAAAAUCGGAAAAUAAGUGAUCAGCUCGCGUGUAUUGCCUCAAUACAUUUUGACUUGUUGUGACGUAGGUAGCGGCAUCUCUUAGACUUCCACUCCGAGUCGCUCCGCUACAUAAAGGUCAUGUUUGUGUAGGAUGGUCGGUUGUACUAAAAUUAGUUUAUCGAAAUUGUAUCACCGAACAACCUUGAUGUCGUCUAAUGGAUUCUAAGUGUGAUGUUUGAAUGUAUUUUGAAAUUUGCUAGAUUUGGAUAUUGAUAUCUAAUUGCCGAUUUUAAUUAA